ACGGGUGGCCCUCUUUCUGCA
RNAcentral lists this microRNA (21 nucleotides) under Mus musculus (house mouse). RNAcentral's name for it is "microRNA 5134". Lineage: Eukaryota; Metazoa; Chordata; Mammalia; Rodentia; Muridae. The record is from RNAcentral.